Molecule: ribosomal RNA, 253 nt
Filed under: uncultured bacterium
Lineage: Bacteria
Description: partial 16S ribosomal RNA
Rfam family: Bacterial small subunit ribosomal RNA
Source: RNAcentral
UACAGAGGUGGCAAGCGUUGUUCGGAAUUACUGGGCGUAAAGGGCGCGUAGGCGGCCUUCUAAGUCAGACGUGAAAUCCCCCGGCUUAACCUGGGAACUGCGUCUGAUACUGGGAGGCUUGAGUAUGGGAGAGGGAUGUAGAAUUCCAGGUGUAGCGGUGAAAUGCGUAGAUAUCUGGAGGAACACCGGUGGCGAAGGCGGCAUCCUGGACCAAUAUUGACGCUGAGGAGCGAAAGCUAGGGGAGCAAACGGG